RNAcentral lists this unclassified non-coding RNA (246 nucleotides) under Hevea brasiliensis (rubber tree). The record is from RNAcentral. Lineage: Eukaryota; Viridiplantae; Streptophyta; Magnoliopsida; Malpighiales; Euphorbiaceae.
UUUUGAUCAUCAUCCACUUUCAAUUCCUGUUUCAUUUUUCAAGUACUUGAAGGGACAAAAUUGUGAGAGAGCUGUAUUGAGAGGGCGUGCUGGGAAGAUUUGGCCUGUGAAGAUCAACGGUAGGAGUUUUGAAGAUGGUUGGAAAGAGUUUGUUCAAGACCAUGACUUGCAUGUUGGUGAUUUCUUGGUGUUUAGACAUGAAGGGGAUAUGGUUUUUGAUGUCAUGGUGUUUGAACCAAGUGCCUG